AUUGAACGCUGGCGGCAGGCUUAACACAUGCAAGUCGAGCGGGGUGAUGGUGCUUGCACUAUCACUUAGCGGCGGACGGGUGAGUAAUGCUUAGGAAUCUGCCUAUUAGUGGGGGACAACAUCUCGAAAGGGAUGCUAAUACCGCAUACGUCCUACGGGAGAAAGCAGGGGAUCACUUGUGACCUUGCGCUAAUAGAUGAGCCUAAGUCGGAUUAGCUAGUUGGUGGGGUAAAGGCCUACCAAGGCGACGAUCUGUAGCGGGUCGGAGAGGAUGAUCCGCCACACUGGGACUGAGACACGGCCCAGACUCCUACGGGAGGCAGCAGUGGGGAAUAUUGGACAAUGGGGGAACCCUGAUCCAGCCAUGCCGCGUGCGUGAAGAAGGCCUUAUGGUUGUAAAGCACUUUAAGCGAGGAGGAGGCUACUGAGACUAAUACUCUUGGAUAGUGGACGUUACUCGCAGAAUAAGCACCGGCUAACUCUGUGCCAGCAGCCGCGGUAA
Molecule: ribosomal RNA, 502 nt
Filed under: uncultured bacterium
Lineage: Bacteria
Description: partial 16S ribosomal RNA
Rfam family: Bacterial small subunit ribosomal RNA
Source: RNAcentral